RNAcentral lists this ribosomal RNA (274 nucleotides) under uncultured bacterium. RNAcentral describes it as "partial 16S ribosomal RNA". It matches the Rfam family "Bacterial small subunit ribosomal RNA", at positions 523 to 796 of the family's 1533-position model. The record is from RNAcentral.
AUACGAAGGGGGCUAGCGUUGUUCGGAUUUACAGGGCGUAAAGCGCACGUAGGCGGAUUGACAAGUUAGGGGUGAAAUCCCGAGGCUCAACCUCGGAACUGCCUCUAAAACUGUCAAUCUCGAGACCGGAAGAGGUGAGUGGAACUCCUAGUGUAGAGGUGGAAUUCGUAGAUAUUAGGAAGAACACCAGUGGCGAAGGCGGCUCACUGGUCCGGUACUGACGCUGAGGUGCGAAAGCGUGGGGAGCAAACAGGAUUAGAAACCCUAGUAGUCC